AUCAAAAAGAGGUCAAGGUCAAGCUCCAUGACUCCUAUGGCACAUAGGACUAGGAUGAAUACCGAUGCUCUCCUAGAUCUGGUGGUUCAAGAGAGAAGGAGAUUAGAAAUUGCCAACGAGAUUCUUAAGAGGGAUAAGCUUGCUAUACCUACACUAUAUUCUAUUGAUAUGUGCAUGUCGAAGCUAGAGAGGCUUUCCAGUCUUACGUCUGAAUGCAUCCUUGCUGCAGAAGAGGUAUUUAAAUAUGAGAUGAAUCGAUAGUUCUUCAUGCAUUACAGGGGCCCAUUAUUGGAAGCUUC
RNAcentral lists this long non-coding RNA (299 nucleotides) under Elaeis guineensis (African oil palm). RNAcentral describes it as "long non-coding RNA (EGUI_LNC037590)". Lineage: Eukaryota; Viridiplantae; Streptophyta; Magnoliopsida; Arecales; Arecaceae. The record is from RNAcentral.